This 119-nucleotide ribosomal RNA is filed under the name Myotis davidii. The record is from RNAcentral. Lineage: Eukaryota; Metazoa; Chordata; Mammalia; Chiroptera; Vespertilionidae.
GUCUACGGCCAUACCACCCUGAACGCGCCCGAUCUCGUCUGAUCUCAGAAGCUAAGCAGGGUCGGGCCUGGUUAGUACUUGGAUGGGAGACCGCCUGAGAAUACCAGGUGCUGUAGGCU